This is a long non-coding RNA of Haliotis rubra (blacklip abalone), 290 nucleotides long. RefSeq lists it as uncharacterized. The transcript is spliced from 3 exons. Lineage: Eukaryota; Metazoa; Mollusca; Gastropoda; Lepetellida; Haliotidae. The record is from RefSeq and is a predicted model, not a curated record.
CAUCAAACAAUAGAAAAACAAUUUCUUGUAAGUUUCCAUUUUUGACCAAUAAAAACAUAAGGAUUUUGUUUUUUGAGCGGAGAAAAUUCACUUUUAUUUCUUUUCAUAUUCUUGAAAAAAAUACAACCGGAGGAUACGUAAAACAAGAAAUAGAAUUGGUCUGGUCUAAACUUGAAAUAUAGGUGUGCUUAUACAGUAUGCAUGAGAAGCAAUGUAUACAGGACACCUUUAGCACAGUUUACUAAAGGUAAAACAUGCAAAUGUGUUAUGUGAUUUUUAAGAUAUCAGAA